Molecule: long non-coding RNA, 3089 nt
Organism: Micropterus salmoides (largemouth bass)
Lineage: Eukaryota; Metazoa; Chordata; Actinopteri; Centrarchiformes; Centrarchidae
Exons: 9
Source: RefSeq, a predicted model, not a curated record
UGCCGUUGAACUGCGUUUAAAAGAUUUAAAAGUCGAUAAUUGUGACUUUGGCGUGAUUAAACUGUCGUAUGUUGGUUGAUAUUGUGUCCGACUCGCCCUGUGCGUUGAGUCUUACUGUAAUUUGAGGCAAAUGUUUUAUUUAAUGAAUCGCGGUAAAAAGCCUGAAGGCUAAUGUUAGCAUGCUAGGCGGCCCCAGUACAGAGGGGAGGAAACCCCGUAGGUCCGGCUAACGGCUGCAUCCUGUCAGCUCCAGCCUGCGGAGUGUUUAUGGUGAUGCAGAUAUCGUUACGGGUGAUGGAGAUUGAAAAACCGACUGAAAGUCCAGAACUGUGCCGGGGUUAUUGAUUGAUGCCAGAACACAAGGUUAUAGCUGAUGCUUUUAUCCACUACUCAGUGAAGACAGCACAAAGAUUCCUAAAGCCAACGGUAAGGAGGUCAAAGGUUCUCGAGAGUUUCAUGGAUCUCCAUGGGGAUCUUGGAUGUGACUGUGCUCUACAGGAAGAAACAGAAACCCGAUCCAGAGGAACAACCGGUGGCCCAGUAAGAAAUCUGUGAAGGUUCUCAGUCAUCCAGGUCAUGGUAGAAGAUACUAGAAGACGUUUCGUCCCUCAUUCAAGAGACUUCUUCAGUUCCAGAACCUUUGUUGGAUGGGUGGCCUUCAGGUUUCUAAGGGGCUGAUACUACAUGCAAGGUGAACUAACCAGUUUUCCACGUUUCCUUCGUCUGAGCCAGCUGCCUGAGUCAAUUCGGGAGAGUUGGUGAAGAUAACGCUCAGACAGCCAAUAGAAUCAAUGCAGGAAAGUCACAUGGAGUCUUCCCACAUAAAUGUUCCUGUUGGUCAAAAUGAGUUAAAUUAAACAGACGACGGACCUGCUGGGCUCCUCACACCAGGCCUUCUUCACCAGGAAGACGACGAAGCUGAGGAAGAGGAAGAUGGAGACGGCGAUGAUGCCAGUGAGCCACUGAGGCAGCAGACGCUCGCUGAUCUGAGUCUGAUCUGCAACACAAGCACACAGAGAGUUACUGUCGGCACAGCUCGUACCUGUCUGGGCCGCCACGACUCCGACUGUCAGCAACAAACUGGAAAUCACUGCACAAAGUUUGGCCAUCGCUGGUUCUCCGCUCUGACUGAAGAAAAAAUAAACAGACGUUAAAAAACUUCGCACAAGUUUAAAGCUGAAGCUUCGGAGGUGGAGUUGAAACUAACAGCAGACGAGCAGCUCAGGUGAAGCAGCAGCUGGACCAAAGUGUUGCCUUACAAACCUCUUCCACUUUAAGGCCCCGCUUAUGUUAACAAGGCAGCGAGACUGAGGAGGACUGGACUGGAGAUUUGUUUACGUCUAUAAGUUUGACUCAUUUUCACAGACAGGGAGACUUAAAAACUCUAUAUACAAGAAAAAAGCAGCUUAAUAUGAUUAUCUUUAUCUAUAAUCAUCAACUAAUCUAUCAAAUAAUUAAUUAAUUGGUAAUCAGGCUGUCCUUAAUUAUCUUUGCAUGCAAAAUCCCCAUAAAUUCCUACCUAAUGUUAUAUAAAAACAUUUAUCUUUUAUUGAUUUAUCUUCAUCGAAUCAUCUUUAUUUGCCAGGUACGCAUACGAGGAAUUUGACUCUGGAAAUUUCCCUUCUCACGAUGUGCUUACUUAUGAAUUGCCACACACACACACACACAUAUAUAUGUGUGUGUGUGUGGCAAUUCAUAACAGAAGUUAUCUAAUUGCACUUUUCAUACAGAGAAGGUAUUAUUAAUCAGGGCUGUACAGUGAGAACAUUUCCCUGGCAUAACAAUAGAUAAGAUUUAUGAUUUGAUAUGAUUGACGAGUUAGCACUUUUAUAAUUACAAACCAAUGUAAAGCAUUUUUCUUGCACAAGGAUUUAAUGAAUAAAAACAACCCACAAAGGUGAAACUGCUGUAUUAAAUAUUCAACUAGUGCUAACCUAUAGAGUUCACUAUUAUAUGAAAUUAGUAACAUUAUAUUAUACUAUUAAAUGAAUCUCAUGCUUUUUAUUUAAUGUUACACUCCUCCAGGUUGUGGAUAGAGCCUCUGCCAGGUUGCCAUGGAAACAUUAUAAUGAUAAGAAUCUAAAACUAUGUGAAUAUUCAGUUUUUAGUCGAAACAGAGCCUGAAGUCACUCGCUUCCGCUUCCGGCCCGUGGGACGUUAUUUUGGAAAGUUCGGUAUUUUUUUGAUCCGGUUUGAACUGAGCCCUGAAUCACACACGUUUGUCAAUUUAAAGUAUGAUUUUGUCCGUCAAGAAAGCCGCAGUUUGUCGUAAAACAGUAAAGUUGCGUGUCUUUUUGUGUGAAACCCGUUCAAUGAACUACAUCUCUCGUCUCGCACAAUAUACGUCAAAAACAAUAAACAUGGUAAUGCUAGCUAACGUUCAUUGCUGCUAAUAAGAUAACUCAGCUGUGUUCCACGCAGAAAUAUAUCUCGCCUGUUGUGUUUAAUCCAACGACUCUCUGUCCUUUUAUCACAUCAUCCUCUCAUGGAAGUUCUUUGACGUUAGCUUCAGUCAUUGAGAGAAACUGUUACGACGUCACGUAUUUGCGGCCUGUGUAAUUAUGUAUUUUCACAGUCUUAUACCUCAACAGUUUUACAUCAAACUGCGACUUUCAAAUGUAGAUUUUAAAUUGACAAACAUCAUGUGUGUAAUUUUUUCCAAAGGUCCCGUGGUGGUCCAGCGGAAGGGGAGGGACUUAGGCAUCAAAUAUUCUACACCGACAGUGUUUAUUUUCCUUUUUGUCACUCACAGGCCUGUUAAAGGAAUAUUCCACUGAAAAUAAUGAAAAACUCACCCCCUGGAGUCGGGAGAGGGGCGUCUUGUGUCUUCUGAGGACAGCAGCUGUGGUCAGUUCGUCCAACCACCUCUGCAGCAUGAUGAACCAGCCCUCUGUCCACCCGAACGAUUUUACUUCAUUCACAUUUUUUGGCAAAAUAUGGCUGAAUCAGGUGCAUCAACAAGCAGAAGAAAGAAUUGAGCCAUAUUUUGGUAAAAAUAUGAGGACGUUCUAAUGAAAAUGUUAUUUUUACAUUAUAGAGCCAUAUGUACAUUUACCCUGCUCACAAUUAAAUUUAACUAUGAAAAUACA